GACGAACGCUGGCGGCGUGCUUAACACAUGCAAGUCGAACAGUGGCGAACGGGUGAGUAACACGUGUGUAACCUGCCCUCCACUUUGGGAUAACUCCGCGAAAUCGGGGCUAAUACUGGAUAGUGGGGGAUGGGCUCGCGGCCUAUCAGUUUGUUGGUGAGGUAGUGGUCACCAAGGAGUGACGGGUAGCCGGCCUGAGAGGGAGACCGGCCACAGUGGGACUGGGAAGCGGGCCGGAGUCCUACGGGAGGCAGGAGUGGGGAAUAGUGCAAAAUGGGCGAAGGCGUGAUGCAGCGACGCCGCGUGGGGGAGGACGGCCUUCGGGUUGUAAACCUCUUUCAGCAAGGAAGCGGUACUUGCAGAAGAAGCGCCGGCUAACUACGUGCCAGCAGCCGCGGUAUAC
This 403-nucleotide ribosomal RNA is filed under the name uncultured bacterium. RNAcentral's name for it is "partial 16S ribosomal RNA". It matches the Rfam family "Bacterial small subunit ribosomal RNA", at positions 28 to 526 of the family's 1533-position model. The record is from RNAcentral.